Molecule: ribosomal RNA, 134 nt
Filed under: Escherichia coli
Lineage: Bacteria; Pseudomonadati; Pseudomonadota; Gammaproteobacteria; Enterobacterales; Enterobacteriaceae
Also listed under: 1 other name
Description: partial 16S ribosomal RNA
Rfam family: Bacterial small subunit ribosomal RNA
Source: RNAcentral
AAAUUGAAGAGUUUGAUCAUGGCUCAGAUUGAACGCUGGCGGCAGGCCUAACACAUGCAAGUCGAACGGUAACAGGAAGCAGCUUGCUGCUUCGCUGACGAGUGGCGGACGGGUGAGUAAUGUCUGGGAAGCUG